RNAcentral lists this transfer RNA (149 nucleotides) under Micromonas commoda. RNAcentral's name for it is "Micromonas sp. RCC299 tRNA". It matches the Rfam family "tRNA". Rfam says of the family: Transfer RNA (tRNA) molecules are approximately 80 nucleotides in length. Their secondary structure includes four short double-helical elements and three loops (D, anti-codon, and T loops). Lineage: Eukaryota; Viridiplantae; Chlorophyta; Mamiellophyceae; Mamiellales; Mamiellaceae. The record is from Rfam by way of RNAcentral.
CCCCCGAUAGCUCAGUUGGUAGAGCGGAGGACUGUAGACUUGUCUAUGCAGCAGAGUAAAAUCUGCGUCCAAAACCCCUAACUCCCGAACAUGGGAGAGAAUGCGAAAUAGUAAUCCUUAGGUCGCUGGUUCGAUUCCGGCUUGGGGGA